Molecule: small nuclear RNA, 109 nt
Organism: Arvicola amphibius (Eurasian water vole)
Lineage: Eukaryota; Metazoa; Chordata; Mammalia; Rodentia; Cricetidae
Source: RefSeq, a predicted model, not a curated record
UUUGACAGCACAUAUACUAAAUAUACUAAAACUGGAACAAUACAGAGAAGACUAGGUUGCCCCUGUGAAAAGAUGAUAUGCAAAUAAAUAUGUGAAGCAUUCUAUAUUC